Molecule: ribosomal RNA, 445 nt
Filed under: Nuctenea umbratica
Lineage: Eukaryota; Metazoa; Arthropoda; Arachnida; Araneae; Araneidae
Description: partial 16S large subunit ribosomal RNA
Rfam family: Bacterial large subunit ribosomal RNA
Source: RNAcentral
UUCUUACUGAAAUAAUUGUAAGUAUCCCCUGCUCCAUGAAUUUUUAAAUAGCCGCGGAAAUUUAACCGUGCUAAGGUAGCAUAAUCAUUAGCCUCUUAAUUAGAGGCCAGUAUGAAAGGUGAAACAUUUUAAUUUCUUUAUUAAUUAACCUUUUUCUAAAUUAAAUUAAGAAUAAAAAUGUUCUUAUAAUAAAAAUAGACGAUAAGACCCUUUUGAACUUUACUUAAGUUUAGCUGGGGCAGCUAAAAAAUAAAAAUCUUUUUUAAAAAUCAUAAAUGACCCAAUAAAAUUGAUUUUAUGAACAAGUUACCAUAGGGAUAACAGCGUAAUAAUUUUUAAAAGCUCUUAUUUAAAAAAUUGAUUGCGACCUCGAUGUUGAAUUAAUGUAACUUUAUAAAUGCAAUAAUUAUAAAAGUAGGUCUGUUCGACCUUUAAAACAUUACAU